CAUGCAAGUCGAACGAUGAACCUCCUUCGGGAGGGGAUUAGUGGCGAACGGGUGAGUAACACGUGGGCAAUCUGCCCUGCACUCUGGGACAAGCCCUGGAAACGGGGUCUAAUACCGGAUACGACCACUGAGGGCAUCCUCGGUGGUGGAAAGCUCCGGCGGUGCAGGAUGAGCCCGCGGCCUAUCAGCUUGUUGGUGGGGUGAUGGCCUACCAAGGCGACGACGGGUAGCCGGCCUGAGAGGGCGACCGGCCACACUGGGACUGAGACACGGCCCAGACUCCUACGGGAGGCAGCAGUGGGGAAUAUUGCACAAUGGGCGAAAGCCUGAUGCAGCGACGCCGCGUGAGGGAUGACGGCCUUCGGGUUGUAAACCUCUUUCAGCAGGGAAGAAGCGAAAGUGACGGUACCUGCAGAAGAAGCGCCGGCUAACUACGUGCCAGCAGCCGCGGUAAUACGUAGGGCGCGAGCGUUGUCCGGAAUUAUUGGGCGUAAAGAGCUCGUAGGCGGCUUGUCACGUCGGUUGUGAAAGCCCGGGGCUUAACCCCGGGUCUGCAGUCGAUACGGGCAGGCUAGAGUUCGGUAGGGGAGAUCGGAAUUCCUGGUGUAGCGGUGAAAUGCGCAGAUAUCAGGAGGAACACCGGUGGCGAAGGCGGAUCUCUGGGCCGAUACUGA
This 674-nucleotide ribosomal RNA is filed under the name Streptomyces sp. Sp080513SC-06. RNAcentral's name for it is "bacterial SSU rRNA". It matches the Rfam family "Bacterial small subunit ribosomal RNA", at positions 54 to 743 of the family's 1533-position model. The record is from RNAcentral. Lineage: Bacteria; Bacillati; Actinomycetota; Actinomycetes; Kitasatosporales; Streptomycetaceae.